AUUGAACGCUGGCGGCGUGCUUAACACAUGCAAGUCGAUCGGUAACAGGUGUAGCAAUACAUGCUGACGAGAGGCGGACGGGUGAGUAAUGCUUGGGAAUCUGCCUAUUAGUGGGGGACAACCCGGGGAAACUCGGGCUAAUACCGCAUACGCUCUACGGAGGAAAGCCGGGGACCGCAAGGCCUGGCGCUAAUAGAUGAGCCCAAGUCGGAUUAGCUAGUUGGUAGGGUAACGGCCUACCAAGGCGACAAUCCGUAGCUGGUCUGAGAGGACGACCAGCCACACCGGAACUGAGACACGGUCCGGACUCCUACGGGAGGCAGCAGUGGGGAAUAUUGGACAAUGGGGGCAACCCUGAUCCAGCGACGCCGCGUGGGUGAAGAAGGCCUGCGGGUUGUAAAGCCCUUUCGGUGGGGAAGAAAGUCUCGACCUAAUACGUCGGGACCUUGACGUAACCCACUAAAGAAGCACCGGCUAACUCUGUGCCAGCAGCCGCU
RNAcentral lists this ribosomal RNA (497 nucleotides) under uncultured bacterium. Its description in RNAcentral is "bacterial SSU rRNA". It matches the Rfam family "Bacterial small subunit ribosomal RNA", at positions 29 to 519 of the family's 1533-position model. The record is from RNAcentral.